This 272-nucleotide ribosomal RNA is filed under the name uncultured bacterium. RNAcentral's name for it is "partial 16S ribosomal RNA". It matches the Rfam family "Bacterial small subunit ribosomal RNA", at positions 793 to 1055 of the family's 1533-position model. The record is from RNAcentral.
GUCCUAGCCGUAAACGAUGGGCACUGGGCAGGGGGGAUUCCUAUGUCUUCUCUGCCGUAGCUAAUGUGUUAAGUGCCCCGCCUGGGGAGUACGCUCGCAAGGGUAAAACUCAAAGAAAUUGACGGGGGCUCACACAAGCGGUGGAGCAUGUGGUUUAAUUCGAAGCAACGCGAAGAACCUUACCUAGCCUUGACAUGCAGGAAUUAGCCCUAUGAAAGUAGGGUGACAGCUCUUCGGAGUCGGAAUCUGCACAGGUGUUGCAUGGCUGUCGU